RNAcentral lists this ribosomal RNA (848 nucleotides) under Rhodotorula mucilaginosa. Its description in RNAcentral is "LSU rRNA". It matches the Rfam family "Eukaryotic large subunit ribosomal RNA", at positions 85 to 954 of the family's 3401-position model. The record is from RNAcentral. Lineage: Eukaryota; Fungi; Basidiomycota; Microbotryomycetes; Sporidiobolales; Sporidiobolaceae.
AGCGGCGAGCGAAGCGGGAAGAGCUCAAAUUUAUAAUCUGGCACCUUCGGUGUCCGAGUUGUAAUCUCUAGAAAUGUUUUCCGCGUUGGACCGCACACAAGUCUGUUGGAAUACAGCGGCAUAGUGGUGAGACCCCCGUAUAUGGUGCGGACGCCCAGCGCUUUGUGAUACAUUUUCGAAGAGUCGAGUUGUUUGGGAAUGCAGCUCAAAUUGGGUGGUAAAUUCCAUCUAAAGCUAAAUAUUGGCGAGAGACCGAUAGCGAACAAGUACCGUGAGGGAAAGAUGAAAAGCACUUUGGAAAGAGAGUUAACAGUACGUGAAAUUGUUGGAAGGGAAACGCUUGAAGUCAGACUUGCUUGCCGAGCAAUCGGUUUGCAGGCCAGCAUCAGUUUUCCGGGAUGGAUAAUGGUAGAGAGAAGGUAGCAGUUUCGGCUGUGUUAUAGCUCUCUGCUGGAUACAUCUUGGGGGACUGAGGAACGCAGUGUGCCUUUGGCGGGGGUUUCGACCUCUUCACACUUAGGAUGCUGGUGGAAUGGCUUUAAACGACCCGUCUUGAAACACGGACCAAGGAGUCUAACAUGCUUGCGAGUAUUUGGGUGUCAAACCCGGAUGCGUAAUGAAAGUGAAUGGAGGUGGGAACCGCAAGGUGCACCAUCGACCGAUCUGGAUUUUUAAUGAUGGAUUUGAGUAAGAGCACGUAUGUUGGGACCCGAAAGAUGGUGAACUAUGCCUGAAUAGGGCGAAGCCAGAGGAAACUCUGGUGGAGGCUCGUAGCGGUUCUGACGUGCAAAUCGAUCGUCAAAUUUGGGUAUAGGGGCGAAAGACUAAUCGAACCAUCUAGUAGCUGG